GUGCCAGCCGCCCGCGGUAAUACGGAGGUUCCAAGCGUUGUUCGGAAUUACUGGGCGUAAAGGGAGCGCAGGCGGGCAAGUCAGUCUGAAGUGAAAUCCCGGGGCUCAACCUCGGACUUGCUUCGGAUACUGCUUGUCUUGAGUUCGUGAUAGGAAGACGGAAUUCAGGGUGUAGCGGUGAAAUGCACAGAUAUCCUGAGGAACACCGGUGGCGAAAGCGGUCUUCUGGCGCGAAACUGACGCUGAGGCUCGAAAGCGUGGGUAGCAAACGGG
Molecule: ribosomal RNA, 273 nt
Filed under: uncultured bacterium
Lineage: Bacteria
Description: partial 16S ribosomal RNA
Rfam family: Bacterial small subunit ribosomal RNA
Source: RNAcentral